UACAGGUGAUAUUAUUUUGCCGUCUUCAGCCUUAGCUACAUGUGAGUGCGCGCUGCAUUGACGCCGUCCGAUGCAGCUGUUUAAUCGUGUGUACGCUGUGCCGAGAGUAAUUGUGGUGCAUUUUGUAUUCAUUGAGAAUCACAAAACCCCUGGGACCGCGUAAUGUAGCCCGCAGUAUCCUUCGUGUGGUGCGCCGAUGUCGAAGGUAUGAGCCUUCGCCACUUUCUUUGUUCCGGGCUCACGAAAAGGAUCUCCUCCUCUGGCACUCUCGCAUCGUGUCACACUGUACGGAAGAAUUUGGUGAAAAUUGUGCUCUUACGUCCUGUAGUUGAUCCGCAAUUCAACAGUGUGUGCGCCGGAAGGACCGUUGGUGCAGUCGAUGCCGCGGCACCUGUGACGCUAAAAGGAGCGUUUUCCGAGUACGCCUAGAAAGGGAUGGCAAGAUUUUGUGAACCAGAGGCACCUCCAGAUAUGCACCUGCGGCACUUCUGCAGCCUCAACAGCACGGCAAAGUACCUGAUGUGCAUGCUGUGACAAGCUGCUAUAGGUAUGGCUGGACCUGGAGAAGAAGUGUAAGCAGACCAUGCUAUGUUGCUGAUCUGCGCUGAUCUCCACAUCCAAGUUGGUCCCGUGACAGUUGGGCGCCAUUGUGCCUUGCUUCAUUGACAAGGUGAUAUAAUAUGGUGAGCUUGUACUUCAAUAUCGGUAUUGAAAAUUAUGUUAAGGAAAAAAGACAAGGAUUGGUCUUUAUGAUAGAUACACUCAUGUUCUUUCUUUAAGGUGUUCUUUUGACACUGUUCUGCAUGGACAUAUUUUUAGAGAAUUAUAACAGUCCUUCAUUGCAAAGUGCCACGGCGCUAGUUUAUGCGUUAAACUAGCACUCUUUCACCAAAAAAAGCCGUAUUUAGCACACAAUUCACAAGGAAAGAAAGGAGGCAACAGGACAGAGUGCUACUAACAGUUCAGUAUUAUAGCUCGCACAGUAAUAUUGUGCAAAAGGUGAAAGGGGAAGAAUAGAUCUGAAUACAUAUUGUUCGCACAGAAACGAAAAGGAUGCAUCACAUGGUGAGUGUGACAUUUGUUUUACAAUGAUAAGAAGCAGUCUCACUGUCUAGUAAUUCUCUGCAUGGGGAGCUAGUGCUAGGUUCCUCGUCAUACAUAUAAGAAAAGUUUCAGAUAUCUCUCCAGCGCUUUUGUCUUUUUAUUUUGUCACGAUCAAGCAGCUUUUAAACAUAGGUGCAUGUGCACCGAGAGUAGUGCACUACCACUGCUAACUGACCCACACAUCAAGUUUGCUUGGUCACGCUGCCAGUCAUUUAUACAUUUGCCGGUUUAUCCGAUGUAGCCUCUACUGCACGAAAUGGUAUGUGAUAGACACUUCACCUGUGUACUGUACGUGCUUUCUUACAUUAUUUUUUUCAGAGAUAGUGAUGCAGGCCUUUUCAUUAUUUACAUGCCUACACAACAAACGAAGCAUUAUCUGUGCUUAGAAAGAAUUGUAGGAAAAUCCAGCAUGAGGCAACUGUUCUCAGCACGAAACAAACUUGAUUCGUUGGUUUUCGUUCAUUAUUGCGAUCACACUAAGGCAGACAAGCUUGUAGGCUGUGCUUCUGCAAUUUGUACAGCACACUGACAGCACUGGUGUGGGCCUCAUCUGUGGGCUGACUGAUGGCACCUUCUACGGCGCAGACCACUUGUGUUGGGCGAGGCACCAAUGUUGACGUUUGUUCCCUUGUGCAAAACAGCAGUCCUAGGUUUAGAGUAGUUGUAGGAAGACAAGGUAAACAUAACUUCCAUGGCUUGAGUGGGCUCAUUUCUCUUGGGGCAUCUAGCUUUUUUUCUUGCAACUGUGCAGAGGUGCUUCCCUAGAGUCAGCGGGAAAAUGGCAUAGAGUUGUGCAUUCGGGAACUCCUUAACAAUGAUCUGCCGUAGUUAGGGCCUUGCGAAAAUGCACUGUCUGCCAAGUGGUAGAAGGUGCAUUAUUCAGCCACAGAUUUCCUGUUGGCAUGAUUGCACUCGUGCUGUCAGUAAUUUCUUGGCUUGCCGAAUUAUCUUGAGGCCCCACGCUGAUGAUGCUACCGAUGUCUUCGUGUGCAGAUUUUCAGGAUGAGGUUUUUUGCUUUGCAAAUGUUGUUGAAAGGUAGGUGGUGCUUACAGGUAGCUAUUCUAAAUAUUAGUGAAAUGAAUUGGCCCAUCUUGCUUCGUCAAACAUCGUCACGCCGACAUCAGUUGCACAAACAAAAAACCUGGCCUACUUGCAGCGUCGUGCACGAAGAAACAAACAAAUCAGCUGCUGGAUUGUCUUGGCAUCGCAUACUAAGCUGAGACCAGAACUGCUGUAGCUACAAACCAGGCAGAAACGAUGAUGAUGAGCAGGGAUUUGUAGUAGCGCCACUUCGUGGGGCACCAAGGAGGCUUCGUUCAAAACAAAAAUGGCGUUCAGCAAGUAGAACCAUGCCACGGUGAGAGUCGGUGCAUGGUGCUCUCGAUCAAGUUGGCUCAAGGAGUGUCCGAAAAAUCAGACGAGAGGUUGCAAGGCGUCCGAAUUUUCGGAAGUUGUUAUAUAUUAUGGUCCAUGGGGAGAAUGGCGGUGCCGUGAAGCAGACCGAGUACUCAUGUCCGGAAAAUCAGUCGGCGACUGUACCUAUACCUAUGUGUCUAUGUAUACCUAGGUGCAACAGUGUUUGCUAUGAUCUGUGCCAGAAUUGCUGUUGCCCGUAGAUGCCCAACAUGUCGGGUGUCAAAUUGUAAAAUACCUUGCAAAAGUGAUCUACGGAAAAAUACCGCUUCUGCUAUAUUUCGCUUUUGCAAGAAAUUUAGCGGCUGCUGGCACCUACCUUUCUUUCUUUCUUUCUUUAUUGAUUUAUUUAAGACAAUGAACAGAUUGUCUUAGGGGACACGGCUAAAGGCAAAACAUUUGCCUGACUAGGCCGUGCCACCCGUACAUUGGCAGCAACAUGACAGUGGCAGGCUUUCAGGAGGUCACACAUGAAAUUAAAGUAGUACACAUUUUCAACACUUGAGUACACAAUUCGCGUAAGAAGAAAGAAAAAAAAAGGUUAAAGUUUAUACAGUUUUCUAAUCAAUUGAAGCACAACAACGACAGGGAAAAAAAAAGUAUGUACGAAAUUUUCCAUACCUGUAGCUGAAAGGUUAAAGUUUACACAGUUUUCUAAAAACAACAACAAGAAACAUGAACAAAAUUUUCUAUACGUGUAGUUCAACCUUUCUAUUAGUCUUCGGAUAGUAACAAUUCUUUUACCGUUUUCUUAAAGCUUUGCUUUGAAAUUCCAGAAUUUAGCAGGUCCAAUACCAAGGGGUAGUCGUUUAGAAGGUUAGGAAGUUGAACUGCUAGUUUUUGAUCUCCGUAUUUCGUUCUGCAACGUGGUUUUCCUAUCAGAGUUUUUCUGAGGUUAUAGUUUGUCGUUCUGCCAUGAUAUUUACUUUGGAAGGAACAUUUGUCUUCCCAGAAUUGCCGUGAAAUUUCGAGGAAUAAUUUGUAAGUGUGAAGUUUUGAUGCUGUUAAUAUUUUAUAUUUGUUAUAGUAUAGUUUAGUGGUAUCAGUACGUUCUAAGUUACCUAUCGCGCGCAGUGCGCGGUUUUGGAGUGUUUGAAUUGAUUUUAAGUUAGUUUGUGUAGUGGUUGACCAAACUAGCAAACAAUACGUUAAUCGAGAAUGUAUAAGCGCGUUGUAAAUAUUGCGCUUCACAUUUAUCGGUAGCAAAUAUCGCAACCUAUUUAGCACACCGACAGCACGAGCGAUAUUUUUUCUAAGAACGUCUACGUGCGGUGACCAGGACAUAUUUUCAUGGAAUAUAACUCCUAAAAAUCUGGCUGUUGUUGCCUGUUCGAGGUUGACCUUCUGAAACUGGAGUGUUAUCUGAGGGUGGAUUAUUGUUCCUUUUGAUUUAAACACUAGAUACUUAGUUUUAGUUAUGUUUAAUUGGAGUUUAUUCGCAUUUAGCCACAAGCUUAGUUGCUGUAACCAGAUGUUAGCUCGCUCAAAAAGAUUUCCUAUUUCCCUUCCUGAGAAGAACACGUUAGUAUCAUCCGCGUAUAAUAUAAUAUUGGAACAGCCUUGAAUAUUGACAAUAUCAUUAAUAUAGAGUAAAAAUAAAACAGGCCCCAAGACGGAUCCUUGCGGCACGCCGUACUUAAUGUGCUGAAUUUCGGAACUAACUCCAUUUAUUGUUGUGUACUGUGUUCUAGAGGUCAGAUAGCUUUUUAUUAAGGAUAAUGCGACACCACGAAUUCCAUAAAAAGGUAGCUUUUUCAAAAGGACAUCGUGUUGCACGCAAUCGAAGGCCUUCCUAAAAUCUAGAAAGAUACCUAGAGUUAACAUUCGGUUUUCUAUGUUGUCAAGGAUUUGUUCCUUUAUUUCAAGUAAAGCGGUUUCUGAAGAUUUAGCCUUACAGAAACCAUAUUGCUCCUGAGCUAUUAUGUUAUACGUGUUUAGAAACUCACAGUCUUCUAUUAAUUACAUGCUCAGCAAUUUUCGCGAAGACAGAAAGAACGGAUAUUGGCCUGUAGUUAUUCAUGUCGUUAACUGGGCCACUCUUAUGAAUGACUGUCACUCGGGCUAGCUUCAUCCUGUCUGGAAACACACCGUUGGAAAGAAUUAAGUUACAGAUAUGUGAAAGAGGCGUGCUUACAAUUUCACUGACGGCUUUCAACGGCUUCACUUUUAUAUCAUCUUCACCUGAAGCACAACUGUCUUUCAACGAUAAAAUUAUUGUUUGUAUCUCGUGCUGCUCAGUAGGCGCCAAGAACAGCGUAGAAGAACAUCGAUUUAAUAUAUAUUCCGUGCAAGAGACGUGUAUCAUUUUGUGAGGACGCACCAGCAUCAAUAAAAUGAGAAUUAAAAGUAUUUGCAACCUCAGUAUCUGACAAUUCACUAUGCUGAAAUGCAACUUUUCUUGUGAUAGCGCCUUUGUUAAUUACUUCAUUGAUCGCUUUCCACAUGAGAUUUGAAUUUCCCAUGAUAGCAAAAAACUUGUUCGCGUAAUAUUCUUGUUUAGAGCGUUUAAUAUCGGAAUUCAAUUUGUUACGCUCAGAUUUGAAAGACCGAAAGUCAUCUUCGCUUCUGCUACUCAAAAAGAUUUGGAAGAGCUUGUUACGACAUUUUAUCCUGUUAUAGAGGUCACGAGUUAUCCAAGGCUUUCUAGCUUUGUUGUGUUUUUUAAACUUCUUAAGUGGGAAAGAUCUGUUGUAUAACAACGCGAAGGUAGAUAUAAAAACAUCGUAAGCCUUGUUUACAUCAGUUUCCGCGGUCACUUCGUCCCACCGAUAACCAGAGACUAGUUCAACAAAUUUCCUAACACUUUGUUCUGAAUAAAUUCUUUUUAAGCUUUCAGGGCAUAUAUUGGAUGGCUGUCUAUGAGGUAGCAGACAGUAUAUAGGCAAGUGAUCACUAAGAUCGCACAUCAAGACUCCUGCCCUUACAUAUUCAGCAGAAAAACUCGUCACACAGAGGUCAAGUGUUGUCUGGCUUGUAGGUGUGAUGCGAGUAGGCACGUUGAUGACAUUUGAACACCCGUAUGAUUCAAAAGUUUCCUGAAAACGCGUAUAUUCUAGGUUGUCUGGGCAAGCAUCUAUAUUAAAAUCGCCCAUUAAUAUUGUUUCAAGUUUAAGUUCGGUGCUGAGUUCUAAUAAUUUUUCAGUAAAUUCUAAAAACUUGCACAUGAAUCCAGAUGGCGGGCGGUACACUACCGAAAUCAAGGUGUUCAUGCACUGAAGACCUAUACAUUCAUAGCAUUCGUUAACAAUCUUGAGCUCGGGGAUUAUACUGUACGACAAACCAGAACGGACAUAAAUAGCAAUUCCUCCUCCUAGUUUUUUCGUUCGGUAAACAGAGAUGCAGUCAUAUCCAAAAAUAGAAGCGCAUUCAUCCUCUGAUGUAAACCACGUUUCACUAAAACAAAGCAAAUCGAAGCAGUGUUGCAGCUCAGACAGAUACAAACUGACUUCAUCAAACUUAUUUCUCAAACUUCGCACAUUAAAAUGAAAUAUUGAAAGUGGACAUUGGUUCUUUAACGACGCGACGUCCCCAGAAAAUUUGAAUUCCAGGGUCGCCAUUGUGGUUUAGUAAACAUAACACAUCUUUUGCUAUCACGUAUGCCGCCAUCACUUCGAGGCUGUAAGACUGGCCAGAUCCUCCUCGCCGCGUAUGACAACAGCUCGGUCGCCGCUCCUUUUUCGCACCAAAACUUUACCGUUUGAGUGCCAGACGUAUGCGUAUCCUGAGGUCUGGGCCAAAUACCAUAUAAAAGGCUUUAUAUGGUCUUCGCAUGGCCAGGGCCUUCUACUUUUGUGAGUUUACUUAUCUCGAAAUUUACCCCGGUUUUUAUAACUUCAAGUUGGCGGGAUCCCUAGUCUCCUUUAACGUGUACCCAAUAGACCUUACAUAGGGGUUUUGGCAUUUCCCUGCCAUCUAAAUGCAGCCAUUGUGGCUGGGAUUCAAUCCCAUGCCCUCUGUCUGAGCAGCGCAAUGUCAAAGCCAGUACACUACGGUAUUUUGCUGGCAGACGGGUUUAGUUUCUGAAUAAUUUAUUAUCUCAACCUGUCGGUGUUGUUUUUAAAGGUAUUUCAUGUUUGUAUUCUGUUGCUUCAAUACUAGUAAUUAUUGUUAAUCAAACGAUGUGUCCAUCUUUUUCCUAUAAGACUUGCUUCAAUCGCCUGCUAAUUAUGACAGCUUAUUCUCCCACAGUAAUCCAUGUUCCCUUGAAACAUAGGCAGUGCAUGAAACCACAUAUUUUUCAAUAAGAUGUAUUCGUUAUCUUCUAUGACCGGAAUGCUGAACCUUUCUUAUCUGUGAGAACAUAGGCAAAUUUGCCUAUGUGCUAACCUGUUGCAUGAGUCAAGAUAAAUUAUUGGCUUUACUUUUUCA
Non-coding RNA from Dermacentor albipictus, 6886 nucleotides. NCBI's taxonomy places the organism in Eukaryota, Metazoa, Arthropoda, Arachnida, Ixodida, Ixodidae. The record is from RefSeq and is a predicted model, not a curated record.